AUUGAACGCUGGCGGCAGGCCUAACACAUGCAAGUCGAACGGUAACAGGAAGAAGCUUGCUUCUUUGCUGACGCGUGGCGGACGGGUGAGUAAUGUCUGGGAAACUGCCUGAUGGAGGGGGAUAACUACUGGAAACGGUAGCUAAUACCGCAUAACGUCGCAAGACCAAAGAGGGGGACCUUCGGGCCUCUUGCCAUCGGAUGUGCCCAGAUGGGAUUAGCUAGUAGGUGGGGUAACGGCUCACCGAGGCGACGAUCCCUAGCUGGUCUGAGAGGAUGACCAGCCACACUGGAACUGAGACACGGUCCAGACUCCUACGGGAGGCAGCAGUGGGGAAUAUUGCACAAUGGGCGCAAGCCUGAUGCAGCCAUGCCGCGUGUAUGAAGAAGGCCUUCGGGUUGUAAAGUACUUUCAGCAGGGAGGAAGGGAGUAAAGUUAAUACCUUUGCUCAUUGACGUUACCCGAAGAAGAAGCACCGGCUAACUCCGUG
Molecule: ribosomal RNA, 490 nt
Filed under: uncultured bacterium
Lineage: Bacteria
Description: partial 16S ribosomal RNA
Rfam family: Bacterial small subunit ribosomal RNA
Source: RNAcentral